This 340-nucleotide ribosomal RNA is filed under the name uncultured bacterium. RNAcentral's name for it is "bacterial SSU rRNA". It matches the Rfam family "Bacterial small subunit ribosomal RNA", at positions 330 to 667 of the family's 1533-position model. The record is from RNAcentral.
AAAACACACCUACGGGAGGCAGCAGUGAGGAAUAUUGGGCAAUGGACGGAAGUCUGACCCAGCCAUGCCGCGUGAAGGAUGAAGGCGUUCUGCGUUGUAAACUUCUUUUAUCUGGGAAGAAACCUACGAUUUCUAUUGUAGUUGACGGUACCAGAGGAAUAAGCACCGGCUAACUCCGUGCCAGCAGCCGCGGUAAUACGGAGGGUGCAAGCGUUAUCCGGAUUUACUGGGUUUAAAGGGUGUGUAGGCGGGUCUUUAAGUCUGUGGUGAAAUCUCCGAGCUCAACUCGGAAACUGCCUUGGAUACUAUUGGCCUUGAAUUAUGUUGAGGUUGGCGGAAU